Molecule: ribosomal RNA, 374 nt
Filed under: Escherichia coli
Lineage: Bacteria; Pseudomonadati; Pseudomonadota; Gammaproteobacteria; Enterobacterales; Enterobacteriaceae
Also listed under: 1 other name
Description: partial 23S ribosomal RNA
Rfam family: Bacterial large subunit ribosomal RNA
Source: RNAcentral
GGUUAAGCGACUAAGCGUACACGGUGGAUGCCCUGGCAGUCAGAGGCGAUGAAGGACGUGCUAAUCUGCGAUAAGCGUCGGUGAGGUGAUAUGAACCGUUAUAACCGGCGAUUUCCGAAUGGGGAAACCCAGUGUGAUUCGUCACACUAUCAUUAACUGAAUCCAUAGGUUAAUGAGGCGAACCGGGGGAACUGAAACAUCUAAGUACCCCGAGGAAAAGAAAUCAACCGAGAUUCCCCCAGUAGCGGCGAGCGAACGGGGAGGAGCCCAGAGCCUGAAUCAGUGUGUGUGUUAGUGGAAGCGUCUGGAAAGGCGCGCGAUACAGGGUGACAGCCCCGUACACAAAAAUGCACAUAUUGUGAGCUCGAUGAGUA